CGAGUGCGCAGCACGAGUUUAAUCCAUAGCGGCGUUCGGUCACAAGUUGUCUUAUUUUUGAUAUUCAAAUACGGCGAUUAGUUAUUCUUUUUAUUACAUUGGCAAAUGGCUUUUUUUUAUGAAAUUAAUGUAGAAAAUUUAAGGAACUAUAUCUUUUUCCUACGCAUUGACAAUUUGUUUUGAUACGACGUUAUCGACGUCUUGACAACGCCUAUUGUUGUAUGACGUCAGAGAGUGAAAUAACCAUGUUUAUUUCACAUGUGAAAUUAUCGGUUUUUAUCUAACUGGGAAAUCAAUGUAAUUCAUUGCAACCAAUGUAAUAAUA
RNAcentral lists this long non-coding RNA (325 nucleotides) under Mytilus galloprovincialis (Mediterranean mussel). Lineage: Eukaryota; Metazoa; Mollusca; Bivalvia; Mytilida; Mytilidae. The record is from RNAcentral.